This is a non-coding RNA of Aegilops tauschii subsp. strangulata, 1000 nucleotides long. Lineage: Eukaryota; Viridiplantae; Streptophyta; Magnoliopsida; Poales; Poaceae. The record is from RefSeq and is a predicted model, not a curated record.
AUUUGUGGAGAAAGAAAGGGGCAAUGGGAUUUGGCUUUAUCUCUUGCAGAGUUCUCCUACAAUAACUCCAAGCAUAGAUCCACAGGAAGGAGCCCUUUUUCCAUUGUCUACACUAAAGUUCCAACACAUGUGGUGGACCUGGUGAAGCUGCCAUCAAGGGGAAACUCAAAAUCAGCAUUGUCCUUUGCUGAUAAUUACACCGAGUUAUUUGAAGAGAUUCGCGGCGCUUUGGAAGCACAAAAUCAGAAAUAUAAACUUGCUGAUUGCAAAAAGAGGCCAAAAUCAUUCCAAGUCGGUGAUAAGGUGAUGUGGUCUACCUCCGAAAAGAGAGGCUGCCUUUAGGUGUUAAAGGGAAACUUAGGCAGCGAAGGUAUGGGCCCUUCUCUAUCAUGAGGAAGAUAAAUGAUAAUGCUUAUGUGAUAGAUCUUCCAAGUGACAUGGGUAUCUCCAACACUUUCAAUGUUGCGGACUUGACUCUCUACCAUCCAGAAGAAGCGCUCAAUGAAGAUAACUCGAGGGCGAGUUCCAAACAACCAGGGGAGAAUGAUGAGGAACACUAGAUGAGAAGGAAGAAAACACAUGCCAGAUCUGUUUGGCUACUUCUAGAUGCUUCCACUCUAGUGAUAUUCUGUGCGCCAACCCCUACAGAAUAAUGCCCAGUCUAAUUUCAGCAGUGGGCAUGACAGCCUCAAACUUCUCUCUUCAAUAUUGAAGAAGCGGCUUACUCAGAUCAAUGGGCAUGCACUUAGAAAAAUAGCUAAAGAGUACGAGAUAUUCCUAGAGUAAAUAAAGGGCAUGCUGUGCUCAUAAGUUAGACAUAAGCAAAAUGUUAUUUAUUAUGCUCCUGUUGUAUCCUCGGACAUUUUCUUCCACCUACCAAUACCCCAGUAUUGAAUAUCUACUUUCCCACCGUCGUACAGAAACUGAUGUUAGUAUUUGUGCAUACUCUUUGUCUUAAGUGGGCUCUCUUUUAAAAAAGCAUGCCUUUAUAUUACCCAAA